UGGGUAACCUGCCUCAAAGAGGGGAAUAGCCUCCCGAAAGGGAGAUUAAUACCGCAUAAUAUGUUUAAGUCGCAUGACUUUAACAUCAAAGGAUUUUUCUUUUAGAAAUUCCACUUUGAGAUGGACCCGCGGCGCAUUAGCUAGUUGGUGAGGUAACGGCUCACCAAGGCAACGAUGCGUAGCCGACCUGAGAGGGUGAUCGGCCACAUUGGAACUGAGACACGGUCAGACUCCGUAGGGAGG
This 243-nucleotide ribosomal RNA is filed under the name uncultured bacterium. RNAcentral describes it as "partial 16S ribosomal RNA". It matches the Rfam family "Bacterial small subunit ribosomal RNA", at positions 118 to 348 of the family's 1533-position model. The record is from RNAcentral.